RNAcentral lists this ribosomal RNA (451 nucleotides) under uncultured bacterium. RNAcentral's name for it is "partial 16S ribosomal RNA". It matches the Rfam family "Bacterial small subunit ribosomal RNA", at positions 354 to 796 of the family's 1533-position model. The record is from RNAcentral.
GUGGGGAAUAUUGCGCAAUGGGGGAAACCCUGACGCAGCGACGCCGUGUGAGGGAAGAAGGCUUUCGGGUCGUAAACCUCUGUCAGAAAGGAAGAACCUCCCAAGUCCGAAUAGGGCUUGGGACUGACGGUACUUUCAAAGGAAGCACCGGCUAACUCCGUGCCAGCAGCCGCGGUAAUACGGAGGGUGCAAGCGUUAAUCGGAAUCACUGGGCGUAAAGCGCGCGUAGGCCGCUUUGUAAGUCGGACGUGAAAGCCCUCGGCUCAACCGGGGAACUGCGUUCGAUACUGCGAGGCUUGAGUCCUGGAGAGGGUGGCGGAAUUCCGGGUGUAGGAGUGAAAUCCGUAGAUAUCCGGAGGAACACCGGUGGCGAAGGCGGCCACCUGGACAGGUACUGACGCUGAGGCGCGAAAGCGUGGGGAGCAAACAGGAUUAGAAACCCGGGUAGUCC